Molecule: ribosomal RNA, 588 nt
Filed under: Triticum aestivum (bread wheat)
Lineage: Eukaryota; Viridiplantae; Streptophyta; Magnoliopsida; Poales; Poaceae
Description: partial small subunit ribosomal RNA
Source: RNAcentral
AUGCAGUCGCCUCUCCAUCGGGAGAUAGCAUGUGCCGGCCGCGCAUCCACGGUGCCCGAAAGAAUUGACGACACCAACCGCAGGCUACGUAGCUUGCAUCAGCACGAGACGACCACGACGCGAACCGGCCAACAGCGGACAAGGCAUGCGGAUCCCCGGCCGACACCUCCAGCGCGUGUCUCCACAUGUCUGCAGUCCCAUCGACUAGCACGACCUCCAGGGACGGCCUCGCACACGCCCGUCAAGCAGCAGCGCUCCUUCGGCAUCAACAUGCGACACCUCGUCGCAUCUACUCCAACAAUGAUGUCCACACGCCGCGGAGAUGGCUAUGCGUGGAGCCCUUCUCGGCUACGAGCCAGAUCGAACAGCAGGCGUGGCGAGCCUGCCGCAGAUCGGAGGCAGAUACACGCACGCGCAGAUCUUCAUCAACAGGUGCAGACGCAUGCGAUCCAUGGACUUGGGCGAGCGGCUUCAGUUGCCUUCGAUCCAGACGACAGAGGCGCAACACGGCGAGCGGCCAGUUUCAGGAUCCAUGCAAGGUUAGGCCUCAUGCACAUGUAUGAGUUCAUGACGUUCUCGUGCAGCUAG